Molecule: ribosomal RNA, 492 nt
Filed under: uncultured bacterium
Lineage: Bacteria
Description: bacterial SSU rRNA
Rfam family: Bacterial small subunit ribosomal RNA
Source: RNAcentral
AAAGGAAUAGACGGGGGCCCGCACAAGCAGCGGAGCAUGUGGUUUAAUUCGAAGCAACGCGAAGAACCUUACCAAGGCUUGACAUAGUUACGGAUAUGUUGGAAACAGCAUAGCCCUUCGGGGCGUAAUUACAGGUGGUGCAUGGUUGUCGUCAGCUCGUGUCGUGAGAUGUUGGGUUAAGUCCCGCAACGAGCGCAACCCUUGCAGUCAGUUACCAUCAUUAAGUUGGGGACUCUGACUGGACUGCCGUGGACAACACGGAGGAAGGCGGGGAUGACGUCAAAUCAUCAUGCCCCUUAUGUCUUGGGCUACACACGUGCUACAAUGGCCGCAACAAAGAGCAACGAGCUCGUAAGAGUAAGUGAAUCUCAAAAAAGCGGUCUCAGUUCGGAUUGUGGGCUGCAACCCGCCCACAUGAAGACGGAGUUGCUAGUAAUCGCGAAUCAGAAUGUCGCGGUGAAUGCGUUCCCGGGCCUUGUACACACCGCCCGU